ACAGCCACAUCACAUUGAAAUACCGGUUCUUAUAUGAUCAUCAAAGUUAAGCAAUAUUGAGCCUGGUCAGUCCUUAGAUGAGUGACCAGUUUGGAAUACCAGCUGCUGUAA
Molecule: non-coding RNA, 111 nt
Organism: Acanthosepion pharaonis
Lineage: Eukaryota; Metazoa; Mollusca; Cephalopoda; Sepiida; Sepiidae
Source: the annotation of a GenBank genome assembly